UAAACUUUAUAGGCUUUUGCAGUACCGUUCUAUUUUGGCCUUUUCUGUCAAUUUUACCAUAAUUUCGAUCUUCUGCAACAAGGGCACUCUCAAUUGCAAUUAAGGAUGGAAUUGUAAAUAAAAAAUUAUUUUCAUUCUUUUUAAAACAACAACAACAAUAAUAAGAAAACAGGAGAAUUGGCUACUAAUCUACUAUAGACAUAGCCUCAUGAUUUUGCUUUCAUGUUGUCGAUGAAGGAUAAAGUCGAGAGGAGGUCACAAUCCAUCUUUCUUCUUCGCCCGAGGGACAGGCCGCAAAACACUGUUAAUCAAAGUUAAAAAAAGGAGAUGAAAGUCGUGAGGGUAUCUUUACAGCUCAAGCGAUGGUUCUGUUGUGAACAAUGGAAGAGAAUUGACCGGUGUCAUGGAGGCGAUAUGGAAUCGCAUGAAACAGAGGAAAGGAAGGAGAUCCUCGGUUCGAUUCAAGUCUUACUCUUGUGCUUCGAGUAGUUCUCGAUCCAGUUCAUAGAAAAUUCUAGAUCUUUAGAUGGCUUCCUCUGGUUUGUCUGAGUUUUAUCACACUAAGGAUAAGAUACAUUUUGCCAUUUGAAAAAUUCUCUCCUCUCUCUUGCUUUUUGCACUCAUUUAAUAGAAAAGAUGGCUGAUUUUGAACGAAAAGACUUUUUAAUUUGAUAGAACCAAACAUUAGGGACCAUAUGACUAACAUAAAAAAAAAUAAGGGGACAGGUCAAAUAAUUUGAUAAAAUGUUAAAGACAAAAAACUAUUUCCGUUAAUUUAAUUUUUAUGUCAAGCUUGAAAUUUUUUUUGAUAAGUAACAUAAAUUUAUAUUAUUAAAUUAUUAACUGCGAAUUUAUUUAAAAAUUAAAUUUAAUCUAUGAAAUAUUGUAUUUGUUUAGUCUAAUGAAAUAUUUUUCAAAUUUUUAUUUUUUAAGUUUUUAUCAA
This 943-nucleotide long non-coding RNA is filed under the name Jatropha curcas. RNAcentral describes it as "long non-coding RNA (JCUR_LNC001572)". The record is from RNAcentral. Lineage: Eukaryota; Viridiplantae; Streptophyta; Magnoliopsida; Malpighiales; Euphorbiaceae.